RNAcentral lists this ribosomal RNA (898 nucleotides) under uncultured Planctomycetota bacterium. RNAcentral's name for it is "bacterial SSU rRNA". It matches the Rfam family "Bacterial small subunit ribosomal RNA", at positions 8 to 916 of the family's 1533-position model. Lineage: Bacteria; Pseudomonadati; Planctomycetota. The record is from RNAcentral.
AGAGUUUGAUCCUGGCUCAGAACGAACGCUGGCGGCGUGGCUAAGACAUGCAAGUCGAACGGACCAUUAAUUUAUUAGUGGUUAGUGGCGAAAGGGUGAGUAACGGGUGGGUAACGUACCCUGUGCAUCGGGAUAGCGUUCCGAAAGGGGCGGUAAUACCGGAUGAUAUCAGAAGUCGAUGGGCUUCUGAUCAAAGAUUUAUCGGCACGGGAGCGGCCUGCCUCCUAUCAGCUUGUUGGUGAGGUAACGGCCCACCAAGGCGAUGACGGGUAGAGGGACUGAGAGGUUGUUCCUCCACAUCGGGACUGAGACACUGCCCGGACCUCCACGGAGGGCUGCAGUAACGAAUAUUGGGCAAUGGGCGCAAGCCUGACCCAGCGACGCCGCGUGUAGGAGGAAGUCCUUCGGGAUGUAAACUACUGUCAGGGGUAAGAAAGUACGCUUCGGCGUAUUGAUCGCACCCAGAGGAAGUCACGGCUAACUCUGUGCCAGCAGCCGCGGUAAGACAGAGGUGGCAAGCGUUGUUCGGUAUCACUGGGCUUAAAGCGUGUGUAGGCGGAAAAGUAAGCGUCUUGUGAAAGCCCCCGGCUUAACCGGGGAAUGGCGUGACGAACUGCUUUUCUUGAGGCAAGUAGGGGUGCAUGGAACUCUUGGUGGAGCGGUGGAAUGCGUAGACAUCAAGAGGAACGCCAGUGGUGAAAACGGUGCACUGGGCUUGUCCUGACGCUGAGACACGAAAGCGUGGGGAGCGAACGGGAUUAGAUACCCCGGUAGUCCACGCCGUAAACGAUGCCUACUAGGUUGCGGUAGUUCUGACACCAGCACAGCCGAAGCAAAAGUGCUAAGUAGGCCGCCUGGGGAGUACGGUCGCAAGGCUAAAACUCAAAGGAAUUGACGG